CUGGAACCUGCAGCAAUCUUUCGACGAGAUCAUAUAAAAUUGACCCGAAUGAACCAGCGCACAAUUUCUCCGCUUCAGGACUUUUGUAGUCGGUAUUUCACUUUGGAGGCUAAAAGCACCAUCUUCCUGACUAUUUAUCAGAAUGUUCCUUUAAUCCUAUGAAAAUGGAACUGUAAAACCUAACAAAAGCAGCAGUUUGGGAGUGUUCUCUGGGCCAAGACAAAACCAGCCUGGAUUCUGUCAUCGUUACUGAUGGUGAACAGUAUGCAGAGCAGCAUGCAGAAGCCUCAGUUUGCACAAAGAGCACGAAUGAAGGCAGGAGAAGAAGAUACCAGACUGGCAGUGAUCCCAAGCUCCUCACACGCUGAUGUUCAGGACAGCACAUGUGGGUGCCACAUGAGCAGGUGAAACUGUGAUCCUACAUGUGUGGAAGGGAGGAUAGUAAUUAAACAAUCAGAUGUGCUAAGUGUAUCAUGCUGGGAUAUCACUACAUUUCAGAUGGGUUGUGAGGUUUGAAACCUAAGGCGAUAACUCAGGAAGCAGCCAAGUUAAAGCUGUAAUUGUAAGUUUUUACGCACAGUCUCUGGAGUGCCACAGCACCAGUCCUGUCCUGAUACACUCCCCAGUGGCGUUUCAGACGUUUCACAGCCUAAGGCAACCAUUAGUCAUUCUUCAGCCAUUAAGACACUGAGAUUGUUGUUCUGGAUACUCUCCUGAAUGUCUUUACAGACUGUGGCCCUUCCUGGAGAGAUUCCCUUCCACCUCCCGUUCCUGGGGUUGGUGACUUGCCCCUUGCAACAAGGCAAUCUGGUAGGCCAGGGCCUGGGCCUGGGCCCAGGCCAAGUGGGCUUGGCACUCAGCCCUCUGCUGACUGCAUGCCAGGCUGGCCCUGCGGUGCUGCAACUCCCAACGGCAUUGGCUGUAGGAGAUAGUGGCAAUGGAAGGGCACAAAGCGAGGAGUUAUUUCCUUCUAAUUUUAAUUGUGGCUACUAAACUCCAGACUAUAAUGAACAGAGGUGUAAUAAAUCACUCAGAGUUAAAAUUUGCCCUUGCUUUACAAGCAGUUAGUUGAAAGGUUUUGUUCCACUCCAGUAUGG
This is a long non-coding RNA of Cygnus olor (mute swan), 1097 nucleotides long. RefSeq lists it as uncharacterized. NCBI's taxonomy places the organism in Eukaryota, Metazoa, Chordata, Aves, Anseriformes, Anatidae. The record is from RefSeq and is a predicted model, not a curated record. The transcript has 4 exons.